UGUUAAAAAUUUUAUCCAUUUCUAUAGUUAAAAAUUGAUGUGAUUGACGGAAUAAUCAGACAUUUAUACGUGGUGUGCCACAAGUUUUUAAUAGUAGAAAUUGAUGAAAUUUUUAGCA
MicroRNA precursor from Gossypium arboreum, 118 nucleotides. It matches the Rfam family "MIR7502 microRNA precursor family". The record is from Rfam. Lineage: Eukaryota; Viridiplantae; Streptophyta; Magnoliopsida; Malvales; Malvaceae.